GUAGAAGGAGGUUCGAUUAAACUCGCUGCAUCAUGCAGCAACAUCGAACCAACCCACAUCGUGUGGG
This 67-nucleotide small RNA is filed under the name Pontibacillus yanchengensis Y32. RNAcentral's name for it is "Bacillaceae-1 RNA". It matches the Rfam family "Bacillaceae-1 RNA". Lineage: Bacteria; Bacillati; Bacillota; Bacilli; Caryophanales; Bacillaceae. The record is from Rfam by way of RNAcentral.